This 253-nucleotide ribosomal RNA is filed under the name uncultured bacterium. RNAcentral's name for it is "partial 16S ribosomal RNA". It matches the Rfam family "Bacterial small subunit ribosomal RNA", at positions 524 to 776 of the family's 1533-position model. The record is from RNAcentral.
UACGAAGGGGGCGAGCGUUGUUCGGAGUUACUGGGCGUAAAGGGCGCGUAGGCGGCGAUCCAAGUUAGGCGUGAAAGCCCCGGGCUCAACCUGGGAAUUGCAUUCGAGACUGAAUAGCUAGGGUACGGUAGAGGGAAGUGGAAUUUCCGGUGUAGCGGUGAAAUGCGUAGAUAUCGGAAGGAACAUCAGUGGCGAAAGCGACUUCCUGGACCAGUACCGACGUUCAGGCACGAAAGCGUGGGGAGCAAACAGG